Molecule: long non-coding RNA, 697 nt
Organism: Sceloporus undulatus (fence lizard)
Lineage: Eukaryota; Metazoa; Chordata; Lepidosauria; Squamata; Phrynosomatidae
Exons: 3
Source: RefSeq, a predicted model, not a curated record
CAGACUCCAAGCAAAGAGAUGAGACCAUAAGCAAGAAAAAGCCAUGAAAAAGAGUCGCAUGAAGUACGCUCGGCAGUUUGAGAGAAUCGGGUUGGUUGCCAAUCUUCUCUACAAAGCCUGACUCUGCAGCUUAUCUGGCCAGAACAAGGAUCCUGUACAGCCUCUUUGGUGCUGCAAAAUUGCAUACAGGUUUGGAUCUCUACUUCUUCAAGACCUCUUCAGUUAAAUUUAAGACAUAAUCCCAAUCUGGGGUCCUGAAGAGUACCAACAAGCCUACCCAGACCAGAAAAGGCAUCAACCUCUGCCAGGUUUCAGCUAGGAGAGAUUUGUUUAUUCAAUUCUGUACAACCUGAGGGUAAACAGGUAAAGCGAGGAUUGGAAACUGUCUGAGCCAUACUGUCUGAAAAAAGGGGAGUAUAGAUUAAAAAUUACUAUUUCCAGGCUAUGAGCAGUAGGUAGUUAAAUCCUGGCUAGAAUGUUCUUGGGCAGGAGGUGACAACUCCAGGCCUUGCCUGAAAAAGAAGAAGGUCCUCCCUCUAUCCACCAUCAACCAGUGGGAGACAUGGGCAGGCCAACUCCAGGCCUUGCCUGAAAAGAAGAAAGUCCCUCCCUCUAUUCACCAUCAUCCAGAGGGAGAGAUGCUCAGGCCAACUCCAGGCCUUGCCUGAAAAAGAAGGGCCCUCCCUCCAGUCCAUCU